AAGUAGAGAAACUUGUCUUUGAUCUCUGUUGUUGCCACUUGAGAAGCACUUGAGUACCUAAUCUCGAGUUGCCCUCAGCUGUCAAAAUUGACACUGAUGGUGGAAGAUAUCAAAUAUAUCAACAUCAGUAAUCCGAAUCUCCAGUCCCUCGAAAUUUCAAUCCCUUUAGAAGGAAUCAGUUUGUAAGUUCCCAGCUCGUUGGUUUCAGUUGCUGUUUCUUUUGAGAAUGAUAUUGCAGAUCGUAAAACUCGCAGCAAUGUUAGCUCCAGCAACUUGAACAGAUUCCUACUUGAUCUGCCCGAGUUCAGAGCCUGAAGUUUGGAAGUUUUUUACUCAAGGUUAUUUUGGCCAAAUCAUAUUGUAGCUGUUUACACUUGGAUAUGCAGAUCUGUGAAAUCAUAAUUUUACAUAGAGUUACUCCGAAAUGUGAGUGGCCAUACUGAUAGAACAAUAACCUAUAAUCAAUCGUUCUGUUUAGACACUAAAUUCUUGUCUACUAGACAUUUAGUGACUUUCAAUUGUAUUCAGCUCUCUGUUUAACUUUCAGUGUGCUUGCUUUUAGUCGUAGCUUCAUCUGCUGCCAAGUUUGACCUUUUAUUACUUGAUGUCUACUUGUUAUUUGCCAAUCGUAGAUGACCCUGCAUAUUUUUGCUGCCUGUUGUAGCAUUUUUCUGUUCGUGAGGUUCCAGAAGUGUUGCCUGAUCAAUGCACUCAUGUAAAAUCCGUCACCUUUGAGAUAAACUUCAGUGAUUCGAAGGAGAUCUUAGCCGUUUUGUGCCUCUUAAGGAGUGCCCAAAUCUUGUACAAGUUGAAUUAUUGGUUCUCAAGUCGGAUAGCAAUUGUGAGGAGGAUACUGUCGGGUCCUUCUGGGAAGUAUACUGUUUGCUUUAUCCACUCGGGCAAAUCAAGUUCCUAGCGGUGAAGAACAUCUUGGGGAUGAGAUCAGAGAUGGCCUUCAUAGCGUUUCUGCUCAACAAUUCACCAGGUCUCAGAGGAUUUCAGUGGAGGCAGCUUUCGUGGAGGAAGAAGGAAAGACGCUGCUAUCUGAGCUGUUCCAGCUUCCUUGAGCCUCUCCUCACAUUCUGUUCGCGUUUGAGCAUAGGUUUUGGAAAUUUGACCAUCAGUUCAAUGCCAAAGAACCGUCCAAAGUGGCAUGAAUCCACUGUGGUAUUUCAUUCAAGUCUAGGAGCUUGAUUUUUGCUAAUGGAGGAUUCGCAGGUGUUGUCACAAGAACUGACGGCUGCGAAAGUAAUGCAAUGCAGAUCUCUUGGGGAGUAAUGAGAAACUGGGGCGAGACCCAUCAUAUUCUAAGUGAAGCAAACUCACGCAGGCGAGUAGUAAUGGUGAAAGAUCUAAUUUACAAGGCUUAUUAUAGUGUGGCUAGAAACAAAAUGCAAAUUAUUAGAUAAUCAUUGAAAUCAUUGAAUUAAUACACCA
Molecule: non-coding RNA, 1437 nt
Organism: Punica granatum (pomegranate)
Lineage: Eukaryota; Viridiplantae; Streptophyta; Magnoliopsida; Myrtales; Lythraceae
Source: RefSeq, a predicted model, not a curated record